AGCGCGGGAAGCUAACUGAAUCCUUCGGGAGGACGUUAGUGGAACGAGCGGCGGACGGGUGAGUAACACGUGGGCAACCUGCCUGUAAGACUGGGAUAACCCCGGGAAACCGGGACUAAUACCGGAUAACACUUUUUCUCACAUGAGAGAAAGUUGAAAGGUGGCUUCGGCUACCACUUACAGAUGGGCCCGCGGUGCAUUAGCUAGUUGGUGAGGUAACGGCUCACCAAGGCAACGAUGCAUAGCCGACCUGAGAGGGUGAUCGGCCACACUGGGACUGAGACACGGCCCAGACUCCUACGGGAGGCAGCAGUAGGGAAUCUUCCGCAAUGGACGAAAGUCUGACGGAGCAACGCCGCGUGAACGAAGAAGGUUUUCGGAUCGUAAAGUUCUGUUGUUAGGGAAGAACAAGUACCGUUCAAAUAGGGCGGUACCUUGACGGUACCUAUCGAGGAAGCCCCGGCUAACUACGUGCCAGCAGCCGCGGUAAUACGUAGGGGGCAAGCGUUGUCCGGAAUUAUUGGGCGUAAAGCGCGCGUAGGCGGUUUCUUAAGUCUGAUGUGAAAUCUUGCGGCUCAACCGCAAGCGGUCAUUGGAAACUGGGGAACUUGAGUACAGAAGAGGAGAGCGGAAUUCCACGUGUAGCGGUGAAAUGCGUAGAUAUGUGGAGGAACACCAGUGGCGAAGGCGGCUCUCUGG
Molecule: ribosomal RNA, 699 nt
Filed under: uncultured Bacillota bacterium
Lineage: Bacteria; Bacillati; Bacillota
Description: bacterial SSU rRNA
Rfam family: Bacterial small subunit ribosomal RNA
Source: RNAcentral